UACGUAGGGUGCAAGCGUUGUCCGGAUUCAUUGGGCGUAAAGAGCUCGUAGGCGGCUUAGUAAGUCAGGUGUGAAACCUCCAGGCUCAACCUGGAGACGCCACUUGAUACUGCUAUGGCUUGAGUUUGGUAGGGGUAAGCGGAAUUCCUGGUGUAGCGGUGAAAUGCGCAGAUAUCAGGAAGAACACCCGUGGCGAAAGCGGCUCUCUGGAACGGUACUGACGCUGAGACGCGAAAGCGUGGGGAGCGAACAGG
RNAcentral lists this ribosomal RNA (254 nucleotides) under uncultured bacterium. RNAcentral describes it as "partial 16S ribosomal RNA". It matches the Rfam family "Bacterial small subunit ribosomal RNA", at positions 524 to 776 of the family's 1533-position model. The record is from RNAcentral.